UCCUGUUCAAUUGAUACCCAUGACUCCUUAUGAUCUGGGAUCUUUUGUUAAGUCUAUGGUACCCAAAUUCUGGUUAAGAACGAAGCGAAGCGCUGAAUGGCAGGGCGCGACAGAUCCAACGUACAUAGAUGCCAUUGGUGUUCCUAGAGGAGUACCGGAUGAGUAUAAGCUGGUGAAUCAGAUGGCAGCUGGUUUUGAAUCUGCCCUGUGUUGGUGGUGCACUCUUAACAAAAAUGUCGACAGGAUCAAUUACAUCCAUUACAACGUGCAGAGGCUUGGAAAUUGGACCGAGGCGGGUUUUAAGGCGGUCCACUCCCAACUGGCCGCUACUUCCCUAAUGGCUUUCCAAAACCGAAUGGCCCUUGACAUGCUACUCUCAAAAGAGGGCGGCGUCUGCGCCAUGUUUGGGGAGCAAUGCUGCACGUUUAUUCCAAAUAAUACUGCCGCUGAUGGAAGCCUGUCCCAGGCUCUUGAGGGCCUGAGGACCUUGAAUGGCAAAAUGAAGGAACACAGUGUAGUGAACACGGAGGUUUGGAACAACUGGCUAAAUGUGUUCGGAAAAUACCGUACCCUGGUUUCCUCGGUCCUAGUCUCCCUUGCCGUUUUUUCUGCUGUUUUGACCUUGUGUGGAUGUUGUUGUAUUCCGUGUCUCCGGUCUCUAAUUAACAGAUUAAUUACAACUGCUAUCUCUCCAGCAGCUGAGACUUUUCCGUUGCUCCAAGGGGACGACUUUGUGACUGACGAGGGUUCCGUCGGCGUUCUAUU
Molecule: long non-coding RNA, 765 nt
Organism: Syngnathus acus (greater pipefish)
Lineage: Eukaryota; Metazoa; Chordata; Actinopteri; Syngnathiformes; Syngnathidae
Exons: 3
Source: RefSeq, a predicted model, not a curated record